CAGUCGUACCUUCGGGUAAUCAGCCUUUCGGGUGCGAUUCUGUGGAGUGUGAGGAGCUUAACACCUUCAUGCUUUGCAUAUUUGUGCUCUUGGGUGUACUUGCCCGUGUGGUUGGUUAACAUCAAUUUUGGUUAUCAUAAAAUGAUUGGAGGAAUGUAGCUUCGAUCUCGUAUUGAAGUGUUAUAGCCUUCGGUAGAUGUGAUGAUCGAGAUUGAGGAUUGCAACGGAUACCCUUUAGGGCUAUUCGUCUGAUCUCUGAUACGUUGCCUUGAUGUUGAAAGCUUGCUUAUGAUGUUAGGGUAUUACGGUCAAAAGGUUAGAACGAAUUACA
This 331-nucleotide ribosomal RNA is filed under the name uncultured Glomeromycotina. Its description in RNAcentral is "eukaryotic LSU rRNA". The record is from RNAcentral. Lineage: Eukaryota; Fungi; Glomeromycota.